GGAGAGUUGCCAGAGCGGACGAAUGGGACGGUCUCGAAAACCGUUGAGGUGCAAGCCUCCGGGGGUUCGAAUCCCCCACUCUCCGCCA
Molecule: transfer RNA, 88 nt
Filed under: Actinobacteria bacterium IMCC26207
Lineage: Bacteria; Bacillati; Actinomycetota; Actinomycetes
Also listed under: 6 other names
Description: tRNA-Ser
Rfam family: tRNA
About the family: Transfer RNA (tRNA) molecules are approximately 80 nucleotides in length. Their secondary structure includes four short double-helical elements and three loops (D, anti-codon, and T loops).
Source: RNAcentral